RNAcentral lists this ribosomal RNA (774 nucleotides) under uncultured Neocallimastigales. RNAcentral describes it as "partial large subunit ribosomal RNA". It matches the Rfam family "Eukaryotic large subunit ribosomal RNA", at positions 26 to 644 of the family's 3401-position model. Lineage: Eukaryota; Fungi; Neocallimastigomycota; Neocallimastigomycetes; Neocallimastigales. The record is from RNAcentral.
CGCAUCUGUGCAUGCAGCAUAUCAAUAAGCGGAGGAAAAGAAACUAACAAGGAUUCCCCUAGUAACGGCGAGUGAAGCGGGAAGAGCUCAAAUUUGAAAUCUUAAGGGUUUCCCUUUACGAAUUGUAGUUUAAAGAAGUGUUUUCUGUUGAGGUUUUGGUAAAAGUUCUUUGGAAUAGGACAUCAUAGAGGGUGAGAAUCCCGUAUUUGACCUUUACUUUCAACUUUGUGAUACACUUUCAAAGAGUCGGAUUGUUUGGGAAUGCAGUCCAAAAUGGGUGGUAAAUUUCAUCUAAAGCUAAAUAUUGGCGAGAGACCGAUAGCGAACAAGUACCGUGAGGGAAAGAUGAAAAGAACUUUGAAAAGAGAGUUAAACAGUACGUGAAAUUGUCAAAAGGGAAGCGUUUGACACCAGUGUUGUUUUUCUGAAAAUCAAUUAAAGAACUGUUUAUGCUAAGCUGUUUAGACUUUAUCAGCUAACUGUUUAGUUUUGAGCUUUUCUUUAAUGCACUUUUCAGUUAACAAGUCAACAUCAAUUUCUUUUGCUGUAAAAAAGCUUGAGGAAGGUGGCUUGAGAUUCGUCUUAAGUGUUUAUAGCCUCUUGCCUAUGCAGUCGGAGAGAUUGAGGUCUGCAGCGUAGAUCCUUCGGGGCUAAAUGCAUUUGUGCUAAGUUAUAGCAUUUUAGUAGACAACUUGUUGACUAUGAUUUGUCUUGCAGCUUACUCGCUUAUGUUAUUUUACCUACGCUUAGGAUGUUGAAUCUGUGCGAGACUAC